GUUAGCUCAGUUGGUUAGAGCAUGGUGCUAAUAAUGCCAAGGUUGUGGGUUUGAUCCCCAUAUGGGCCA
RNAcentral lists this transfer RNA (69 nucleotides) under Podarcis lilfordi (Lilford's wall lizard). RNAcentral describes it as "tRNA.Ile". It matches the Rfam family "tRNA". From Rfam's summary of the family: Transfer RNA (tRNA) molecules are approximately 80 nucleotides in length. Their secondary structure includes four short double-helical elements and three loops (D, anti-codon, and T loops). Lineage: Eukaryota; Metazoa; Chordata; Lepidosauria; Squamata; Lacertidae. The record is from RNAcentral.